Cyprinus carpio (common carp) is the source of this 3202-nucleotide long non-coding RNA. NCBI's taxonomy places the organism in Eukaryota, Metazoa, Chordata, Actinopteri, Cypriniformes, Cyprinidae. The record is from Ensembl.
AGGCAGAGUCUUUAGGCUAGUCCUUAUGUGUGUUCACCUGCACUGUGGAUUUAAACAUUUUAAAGUACUUAUAAAAUAAUGAUCUUUUUUUUAGGGGGAACUUAUACAUGAAAAAUUCACAUUUAACAGGAACAUUUUGGUACUGACAAAACUAAUGUGGAGUUACCCAGAAUGCCUAGCUGUAUUGUUCAUUAGUGCAUAGUGAAGUGUAAAAAGCCGCGUUGCUGAAGGCUGUGAAUCAGGCUGGUCUCAUGACUGCCACAAUUCUCUAUUCACUCUUUGUUUGUUUGCCUGCAGGUUAAAUUUGCUCUCGAUAACAAGUAUAAAAGAAGACCAUCUUCUCCUUUCUAGCAGAGAGACUAUUUACAGUUACAGAACUGCUUUGGUUGAUACAGAAUACUUUAGAUAAACUAAAAGACAGGGGAAAUAGGCAAGCAUUAGAAAAAAAAAAAAAAAAAAAAACAAUGGCAGACUAUCAGGAAACAGAAUGACAAGGUAGUGGUUGAACAUCAUAUAGUUGUCUUUCUUGUAGUAUUUUGUGCUAAGUAGCAGGAAAAUCAGGGUUGGAAGUGAAAAAUUCCGUUUUAGUUGUCUUCUUUCUGCUAGCAUUGUUAAGUGUUUGACCGUGUGCUUUUGUACACUGGCAGAGAAGAUGAGUAAGUGUAAGAAAGAGUUGAGUGAGAGAGAGAGAGAGUUGAGUGAGAGAGAGAGAGAACGGCUGCUCAUCCGCAGGGCCAGCGGAGCCAACGCCUCUCAGCUGGCUCAUAUGGAAAAGAUGCUACAAGAAACCAAAGGCCUGCUGGAGAAGAAGACAGAGACGGAUUCAGAAAGCAAAGCCUGUGGGGACACUAUGGUGUCUGAUCUGGAGCAGAAGGUCCAGCGCAGCAAGCGAGACCGUCGUAACUCUCUCCACCGCACACAGCUGCUGGAGAGUCAGAUGAAGACGGUUCGCGGCGAGCUGGUUGGCACGCUUGACCACCUGCAGGAGCUGCGCAACAUACUGCGACGCUCGCAGCAGAACGCAGAAGAGCGGGACGCAGCCAUGCAAAAACUAGCUGCAGGGCUGAGGAUUCGUUUUGUAAGACCACAGAUUGUGUAUAAUGUCUUGUAGCUUUGAGUUGUUUCAUAUGUGAUACCUGCAAGAUCCAACAUUCCUUAAUAUGAAUGCUUUAGUCCUGUAUACUCAGAGACUCAACUGCUUUUAUCGUUUAAUUUAAUAUAUUGUUUAUUCCUUUUACAUGAUCUGCAAUAUUACAUGCUGUUUCAACAUUAAUAUUAAUCCCCAAUUCACCAAGUAAUGCUGAUGUAGAAUGUUUGUGUCUGGAUACUCAUUAAAAUAUCCAUAUGUCCUCCAGGUUGUACUUUAUGAAAAGAAAACAGAAACAUUAUAUCCAUUUCAGUUGUGGAUUUCCUCCACGUAUCCUAAAGAUCACUUUUUCAUGUUGCUUUCGGGAGUUUUAGUAUAAGAUUGAAUUUUAAAUCUACUUUUCUUUCCUCCACUUUGAGUGAAGUUCUCUCAAACUUUGUGUCCUCAUGCCACCCUUGUAAGUGAGAUAUAACACCACUGAUCUGCCCUCACUCACCUUACGUUGAAAGGGUAAUGGCCACAUUUUAUUAACUUAAGUAAAAUAUUGGCCAUGUUGUACAUGUUGUUUAAAUGAGGCUUUUAAGAUCAGGAAUUGAAUGUAUUGCAGAGGAGGAAAAAAUGGUAAAUCACCUUGUCCUUUGGAUUUAAGAGAAUGAGAUUAAACAUUCAGAGGAGGACCUGCAAACAAUGAAGGAAUGAGAGAUACAAAAAAAAUCUAGACUGCUUUGAACCUCCUCUCCACUCAUCCAGAACCUCUACGUACUAUCAGCAACACCAGACACCACUGUUCAUGCUGAUACACGUUGAAAAUCAUGCAGCAAACAUGCAAGAAAUUUAUUCAUUGUGAAAGACUGCAUUUAGAGUGGAGGAGAGCACUAAAGUAUAUCUGGUAUACAACAUCACAGCACACAAUUAUGGGAUGUUUUGUUUAUUAUUAUUAUUAUUAUUAUUUUAUGUAUAUAAUGUGGAUCUAAAGCACUUAGAUUGAAUCUACACUCUAAGUGUACAUUUUGUCAAUUAUAUGCCUCUUACGUGUAUUCCGUGGUGUCUUUUUUAACCUUUUUUUUUUUUUUUUUUUUUUUACAUUUUUAAUUAAUUAAUUUAAUUUAAAUAAUAGAUAUAUCAUUCAAACAUUUUCUUAAUUAACCUCACAAUUGCUGGGGGACCUGUGUCCUGCCUCACACAUCCACUUAAAAUGACCACGGCCAAGUAGAUGUAGCGAAUAGUUUGAUCAGAGAAGCAUUAACAUUUGUUUGCAAAUACCAUGUUACACGUCUAUGCUUCAUUACGUUUUGAGUUUUGUCUUCCUUGUCUUGUGACCUAGUUUUCCUAAGUUGUUUGAUUAGUUAUCAUGUCCACCUGAUGUCAAUUAAUGAACUCGUUAUUUCCCUUUGUUUGCCUUGUGUAUUUACGCCCUGUGUUAUCUCCUUCUGUUUGUCUGUGUUUGAAAGGUUGUUGUUAGUGGCUUUCCUGAGUUUAUGUAGUUUAAAGUUUGUCCUUUGGAGUAUGCAUGUUUCUAUACUAAUACGUGACAACCACUUGGAUUUUUUUUAAUUUUUAUUAUUAUUAAAUAUGAUGACAUUAUACAUAAGUGGGGGCUUAAGUGUCCAAAUGCUCUUUGGGGCCAGUUUAUGAGUCUGUUUGUUGACUUUGUAAUUUCUACUUCUAGUCAAGACUCAGAAUGACUGCUAUGUGGCCAUUACUAAAUGCCCCAGACAACUCUAAAUUAUAAACCCAAGGCACUUUGGUUAUGUGACUUUAUAUGAUCACAAUCAGGCUGUUGUAGCAUGUUUUUUUUUUUUUUUAAAUUAGAUGCACAAUUGUUCUGUUCUGUCCAAGAAAAGAGAUGUCAUGCUCUCUUAGGAGCACAGGACUUGUGUCUCUCAGAUUAGCAUCAAAACAAACCACACAAUCUGUUAUAUAAGCAGCUUUUCCCAGCCUGUUUGAUAACUGUUUACAUUAAGUUAGUAUGGUUUGCUUUGUUGUAAACAGACUGCAAUGCAUUGUAAUAGUUACAUUAUUCAAAGAUGUUUUGGUAAAGAGCAAGUACGAUCCUGUUUUGCUUGACAGAACACCUCAAAUAAAGAUUGAUGAAACUUUAGUGUGUCCCUAGUU